RNAcentral lists this ribosomal RNA (253 nucleotides) under uncultured bacterium. RNAcentral's name for it is "partial 16S ribosomal RNA". It matches the Rfam family "Bacterial small subunit ribosomal RNA", at positions 524 to 776 of the family's 1533-position model. The record is from RNAcentral.
UACAGAGGCCUCGAGCGUUAGGCGGAAUCACUGGGCUUAAAGCGUGUGUAGGUGGAUUCCUAAGUACCUUGUGAAAUCCCACAGCUUAACUGUGGAAUUGCUGGGUAUACUGGGUGUCUUGAGCCACUCAGGGGCUACCGGAACAAAUGGUGGAGCGGUGAAAUGCGUAGAUAUCAUUUGGAACGCCAAUGGUGAAAACAGGUAGCUGGGGGUGUGCUGACACUGAGACACGAAAGCCAGGGGAGCAAACGGG